This 1264-nucleotide ribosomal RNA is filed under the name Pestalotiopsis sp. Its description in RNAcentral is "partial large subunit ribosomal RNA". It matches the Rfam family "Eukaryotic large subunit ribosomal RNA", at positions 87 to 1377 of the family's 3401-position model. Lineage: Eukaryota; Fungi; Ascomycota; Sordariomycetes; Amphisphaeriales; Sporocadaceae. The record is from RNAcentral.
CGGCGAGUGAAGCGGCAACAGCUCAAAUUUGAAAUCUGGCCCUUGGGUCCGAAUUGUAAUUUGUAGAGGAUGAUUUUGGUGCGGUAUCUUCCGAGUUCCUUGGAACAGGACGCCUUAGAGGGUGAGAGCCCCGUACGGUUGAAUGCCUAGCCUCUGUAAAUCUCCUUCGACGAGUCGAGUAGUUUGGGAAUGCUGCUCUAAAUGGGAGGUAAAUUUCUUCUAAAGCUAAAUAUUGGCCAGAGACCGAUAGCGCACAAGUAGAGUGAUCGAAAGAUGAAAAGCACUUUGAAAAGAGGGUUAAAUAGCACGUGAAAUUGUUGAAAGGGAAGGAUUUGUGACCAGACUUUUUCUGGGCGGAUCAUCCGGGGUUCUCUCCGGUGCACUUUGCCCAGUAAAGGCCAGCAUCGGUUUUCGGCGGGGGAUAAAAGCAGUAGGAAUGUGGCUCUCUACGGGGAGUGUUAUAGCCUAUUGUAUAAUACCCUGCUGGGGACCGAGGUACGCGCUUCUGCAAGGAUGCUGGCGUAAUGGUUAUCAAUCACCCGUCUUGAAACACGGACCAAGGAGUCGAACAUUUGUGCGAGUGUUUGGGUGUUAAACCCUCACGCGUAAUGAAAGUGAACGGAGGUGAGAGCCCUUACGGGUGCAUCAUCGACCGAUCCUGAAGUUUUCGGAUGGAUUUGAGUAAGAGCAUAACUGUUCGGACCCGAAAGAUGGUGAACUAUGCGUGGAUAGGGUGAAGCCAGAGGAAACUCUGGUGGAGGCUCGCAGCGGUUCUGACGUGCAAAUCGAUCGUCAAAUCUGCGCAUGGGGGCGAAAGACUAAUCGAACCAUCUAGUAGCUGGUUACCGCCGAAGUUUCCCUCAGGAUAGCAGUGUUGUCUUCAGUUUUAUGAGGUAAAGCGAAUGAUUAGGGACUCGGGGGCGCUUUUUAGCCUUCAUCCAUUCUCAAACUUUAAAUAUGUAAGAAGCCCUUGUUACUUAAUUGAACGUGGGCAUUCGAAUGUACCAACACUAGUGGGCCAUUUUUGGUAAGCAGAACUGGCGAUGCGGGAUGAACCGAACGCGGGGUUAAGGUGCCGGAGUGGACGCUCAUCAGACACCACAAAAGGUGUUAGUACAUCUUGACAGCAGGACGGUGGCCAUGGAAGUCGGAAUCCGCUAAGGACUGUGUAACAACUCACCUGCCGAAUGUACUAGCCCUGAAAAUGGAUGGCGCUCAAGCGUCCCACCCAUACCUCGCCCUCAGGGUAGAAAUGAUGCCCUGA